CUUUUGGCAGGCAACCGGCAGGGAGGGGAAAAUUCAAGCGGCUACAUCUGUAUGCCCAAGUCGCCUAUCACCCCCUGACCUGAACUUGUUGGAAGGUUAAUCACAUCACACAGCGCGAAGACGCCGACCACCAACGAGCCAGAGUGGGGGGACCCACAGACGACCGACGAGGCAUUAGAGGCGGGGCCGAAGGCAGCCGACGAGGCAUUGGAGGGAGAUCCGCAGGCGACUGCCGAGCAGGAGCCGGAGGACCCGCUGGUGCCCCUCGAGCCAUACCCAAGGAGAGCAAGGGCAAACCAAGGGGCAGGACAGGUAGGAUCUGACUCUGGCGCAGGUGUCCCCUCCCUUUCUGGGAGACCGAGAGACAGGGACCCGGCUGGGAUCUGUCCUGCUGUGGCAGCAGAGGAGCCCAAUGGGGCCGUGGGAGCUGAUGUUGCGGGAACAAGGUUAGGAGCCAGAGGGACUACAGCCAGAGGGACAGGAACCGGGGUGACUGGAGCUGGAGCCUCUGUGGGCAGAGCAGGAACAGGCAGAGCAGGAGCCUCUGUGGGCUGAGCCGGAACAUGAGGCACGGGCAGGUCAGGUGC
Long non-coding RNA from Brienomyrus brachyistius, 587 nucleotides. RefSeq lists it as uncharacterized. The record is from RefSeq and is a predicted model, not a curated record. The transcript is spliced from 3 exons. NCBI's taxonomy places the organism in Eukaryota, Metazoa, Chordata, Actinopteri, Osteoglossiformes, Mormyridae.